CUUUCCCUCUUUCUUCCUGCUUUACACAUGCAAGUCGAACGGCAGCGCGGGCUUCGGCCUGGCGGCGAGUGGCGAACGGGUGAGUAAUGCAUCUGAACGUGCCCAGUAGUGGGGGAUAGCCCGGCGAAAGCCGGAUUAAUACCGCAUACGACCUGAGGGUGAAAGCGGGGGACCGAAAGGCCUCGCGCUAUUGGAGCGGCCGAUGUCGGAUUAGCUAGUUGGUGGGGUAAAGGCUUACCAAGGCGACGAUCCGUAGCUGGUCUGAGAGGACGACCAGCCACACUGGGACUGAGACACGGCCCAGACUCCUACGGGAGGCAGCAGUGGGGAAUUUUGGACAAUGGGGGCAACCCUGAUCCAGCCCUGCCGCGUGCGGGAAGAAGGCCUUCGGGUUGUAAACCGCUUUUGUUCGGGAAGAAAUCCUCUGGGCUAAUACCCCGGGGGGAUGACGGUACCGGAAGAAUAAGCACCGGCUAACUACGUG
RNAcentral lists this ribosomal RNA (484 nucleotides) under uncultured bacterium. RNAcentral's name for it is "partial 16S ribosomal RNA". It matches the Rfam family "Bacterial small subunit ribosomal RNA", at positions 36 to 507 of the family's 1533-position model. The record is from RNAcentral.